GUGGGGAAUCUUGCGCAAUGGGCGAAAGCCUGACGCAGCCAUGCCGCGUGAAUGAUGAAGGUCUUAGGAUUGUAAAAUUCUUUCACCGGGGACGAUAAUGACGGUACCCGGAGAAGAAGCCCCGGCUAACUUCGUGCCAGCAGCCGCGGUAAUACGAAGGGGGCUAGCGUUGCUCGGAAUUACUGGGCGUAAAGGGCGCGUAGGCGGACAGUUUAGUCAGAGGUGAAAGCCCAGGGCUCAACCUUGGAAUUGCCUUUGAUACUGGCUGUCUUGAGUACGGGAGAGGUGAGUGGAACUCCGAGUGUAGAGGUGGAAUUCGUAGAUAUUCGGAAGAACACCAGUGGCGAAGGCGACUCACUGGCCCGUUACUGACGCUGAGGCGCGAAAGCGUGGGGAGCAAACAGGAUUAGAAACCCCAGUAGUCC
Molecule: ribosomal RNA, 425 nt
Filed under: uncultured bacterium
Lineage: Bacteria
Description: partial 16S ribosomal RNA
Rfam family: Bacterial small subunit ribosomal RNA
Source: RNAcentral